ACUUGCUUGAAAUGCAUUAGCUGGCGACCUGCUUUCAAUGGUUACCACUCGGCGUAGUAAGUCUUAUUCGUCGAGGACAUCUUGCACCUUCACGGGUGCAGGUGGCCAUUGUGCUGUGUCUUGAUGGCCGCUCCUAAUCGUCCCUGGACAAUACAGAACUCUUUAAUCUCAACUCGGGUAGGACUACCCGCUGAACUUAA
RNAcentral lists this unclassified non-coding RNA (200 nucleotides) under soil metagenome. RNAcentral's name for it is "partial contains internal transcribed spacer 2 and large subunit ribosomal RNA". The record is from RNAcentral.